This 547-nucleotide long non-coding RNA is filed under the name Homo sapiens (human). RNAcentral's name for it is "non-protein coding LRRC75A-AS1:15". The record is from RNAcentral. Lineage: Eukaryota; Metazoa; Chordata; Mammalia; Primates; Hominidae.
GGAUUGGGAUAUUCCGACUCCUUAAGGGCCUGGCGCACAUAAGGUGUGACCUUUUCAUUCCCGUUGUUAUGGAGGUUGCAAAUUCGUGAAGAAUCAGCAUCAUGUUUGGCAGCUGAGUAUUGGAGCCAGGAGCCUGCCAUGAGGUUUUGAGAACAGAGUGCUGUUUUAGAGCUGGCAGCAGCAUCUCAGCCCAAGAGAAGGCAUGACUCCACAGUUUCUGCAACAACAGAGCCGGGGAAAGGAGGACGCAGCAAGCGCUGAAUAUUAACCAGCAAAGGUAGAUGCUUCAAUAUCGAAACCACCGGGACCCGCAUGUGCAAAGCUACUUAAUGAGGGUGUAAUCAAACACAGUCUACCAGAAGGAAAUUAAUUAGAGUCCGGAGAGCAAGCAGGAAGCAGAACCAGGCUGCUCCCCCUCCUGGCUCUAGAACAUCACUGGCAGCCACUGCUAAGGGAGGGACAAGGCUGGGGGAUGCCAGGCCUCAGCUGGGUGCCAGGGCUCCUGUCCUCUUCCCCGUGACAUUCCGGCUUGCCUUUGGGGGACACC